UUAAAUUUUAUCAAAAGAAAAAAAAAACAAUUUUAGCCAAAUUUUUAAAGGAAAAUUUAACAUGAUUUUACGUUAAAAGAAAAAGUUUAACAAAAAUUUUCCUUUUGGUUUAAAACUAAGUUUUAAGUCUGUAUAUUGAAAUAAGUGGCGUUUUUUGUUCAUUUUAAAAUUAAAAAAAAGUUUGCAAAAAAUAGAGGCCUAAUCAUGAGAAAAAUUUCUGCUGAUUUGGUUUUACGGUUACUAUAAAACACACAACAGCAGCAAAUGCAGUAAUAUAAAACUUAAAGCAAAUAAACGUUAAAGAAAAUGUGAUAAAUUUCAGCAGAAAAGAAAACAACAAAUAAAAAAGACAAAAUAUACAAAAGAAAUAAAAAACAAGAAU
RNAcentral lists this long non-coding RNA (382 nucleotides) under Lucilia cuprina (Australian sheep blowfly). RNAcentral describes it as "uncharacterized LOC124420726, transcript variant X1". Lineage: Eukaryota; Metazoa; Arthropoda; Insecta; Diptera; Calliphoridae. The record is from RNAcentral.